UUUGUUUUCUGAUAUUGCCACGCCACCUCCUCCCCCCACCCCCACUCUGUUCUUGCUCUUAUCAUCUGUGACAGCAGAAGGCACCCUUCUACUUUGGUUUUUUCCUAGGUGGCCUUUUGGAGAAAGAAGGAAGAAUCUGCAGUCUCUUAAUGCCACUGUAAGGAGGGUAGAAGACAUGGCUUUGCUGAUGGCACUGCCUUAGGUCUAUCUGGUUGUAGAGUAGGGUCUGGGACCUGCCAAGGUUCUGCUACCGUUGCUGCUGAAGACAGUGGCCUUAAAUAGUGCCAUAGCUAGGGCUCUGGCUGUGGGACAGCACUAUGCUUGGUCCUGAAAACCUGACUAGGAAUGGUGAGGGAAUAAAGAAGGACACAGACACACAGACACAGACACAGGCACAGAAAAACUGGGGUCAGGUGGGCUGUGCUGAUGGAGGAACCACAACAGGACAGAAGCUCAGUAUGUCUAUUAUAUACAGUUGGACAGGAUUAUUAUACAGAGCUAAACAAGAAGGCAGAGUUACAUACAGAUAACAAGGAGACAUUUGAACGUUGCAUACAACUGAACAAGGAGGCAGAUUCAGCUAAUCUCUGUAGGAACAGACUCUAAUGGAGCAGUCUUCAGCCCAUAAACAUCUGGAAGAAGAAAGCCACACUGGACAUUUUCUACACUGUCAACAUUCACACUCAAACCAGAGGAAGUCUUUGCUGUCUCUCUAACCUCACCCAGGGAAAGUUUUGCCGCUCCCAUGUGUCUGAUGCAGGUGGAUUGUAUGGUCCUGGCUGUAGUGCAGUAUAUGCAUCUUGAAGGAAUCUGGCUUUCCACAAGUGUCAAUGGCUGGCUCUUUUCCUCUUGUUCGUAUUCAUGCAGAAGAAAAAAGCAGGAUGUUGGAGGAGGAUUUGUUGACUGACAAUGGUCACUACAGGACAGAGCAGGACUGCAGAUAGUAGACAGCUUUCUCCCAAGCAGCAACUGUUGAGCAUUGCCAAGCAGCUGGGAAUGAUGGCAGAACUGACUUUGGUUAGAUGGCCUUGAGGACCUCAAGGGUGCUGACACAGCCCUACUUACCUACUCCCCACAUCUCUGUGGGGUCCCUUAAAUGCUGGUAUCCCCUUUCCUUUGUGUUAGGAUCCUAGGACCUUUAUGCAUGGACUUCCAUUUCUAUGAGAUUUUGAGAAAACAGCAGAAAAGCAAUGCACACAGCUAAGUCAGUUGCCAUUCAAGAAUUUGUUUCCAGCUCCCAGGUAUUGCUGGUGUUUCCCCCUUCUUUUUUGACCAUGCUUAUAAUUUCAUGUGUGUGCAAAAGCACACACUCAUCCCUCCAUAUUUUGGGGGAAUGGUUACAGGACCACUCCCCCAGAUACCCAAACCCAAGAAGGCAUAAGCCUUUUUAUAAAAUGGCAUAUAAAUUUGUGUGUGUGUGUGUGUGUGUGUGUGUGUGAACAUGCACACUCAUGUAUAUCCUCCCAUAGACUUUAAGUUAGCUCUAGACUCCUUGCAAUAUCCAAUACAAUGUAAUUACUGUGUAACUGAUUGCUGUAG
Molecule: long non-coding RNA, 1539 nt
Filed under: Cricetulus griseus (Chinese hamster)
Lineage: Eukaryota; Metazoa; Chordata; Mammalia; Rodentia; Cricetidae
Description: lncRNA (ENSCGRG00015033418.1)
Source: RNAcentral